GUGCCAGCAGCCGCGGUAAUACGUAGGUGGCAAGCGUUGUCCGGAAUUAUUGGGCGUAAAGCGCGCGCAGGCGGUUAUGUAAGUCUGAUGUUAAAGCCCGGGGCUCAACCUCGGUCCGCAUUGGAAACUGCGUAACUUGAGUGCAGAAGAGGAAAGUGGUAUUCCACGUGUAGCGGUGAAAUGCGUAGAGAUGUGGAGGAACACCAGUGGCGAAGGCGACUUUCUGGUCUGUAACUGACGCUGAGGCGCGAAAGCGUGGGGAGCAAACAGGAUUAGAUACCCGGGUAGUCCA
RNAcentral lists this ribosomal RNA (292 nucleotides) under uncultured bacterium. Its description in RNAcentral is "partial 16S ribosomal RNA". It matches the Rfam family "Bacterial small subunit ribosomal RNA", at positions 505 to 797 of the family's 1533-position model. The record is from RNAcentral.